AUAAACGACAUUCCUACUCUGACCGGCAACCAGUGUACACGGGUAUCAUUAAAACUCUGCCACUCGAGAACCUCCAUCGACAACCAACAACGAUACUACAUUUUGGCGACGAGGAAAAUGACUAAUCCAUUGGAUAUGAUUCGCACAUUGGGCCUACAGCUGCAAGCGUUUGAUUAUGUAUCGUUCACCGAUGAUGUCGGCAUCGAGUGGCGCAAGUGGCUAAGAUCGUUUGAAACGAUGAUGCGAGCCAGCCGUAUAGAUGACGAAGAAUGGAAGAAGGACUUACUGCUGCACUACGCAGGACCCAGUGUUCAGUUGUUGUUUGAAACUUUACCGGAGUUACCGGAAGUGGAAAUGCGUGGACCGUUGCUCAAUGUGGAGCGGUAUUUCCCAAACAUGACCGGCUACGAUGAGGUCAAAGCCAAAUUGAACGAGUUUUUCUUGCCAAAGGAAAAUUCGACUUAUGAGCGACAUUUGCUUCGACAGAUGCAACAGAAAGCGGGUGAGAAUAUUGAUGCUUUCACUAUCAGGCUCAGAGUCCAAGCGGAACGCUGCGGUUUUGGUGACAGAUUGGAUGAGAACAUUAAGGAUCAAAUCAUCCAGAACUGUCAAUCUACUGCUCUUCGUCGUGAGCUACUAAAACGAGGCGAUGUAAGCUUGGAAGAGGUGCUUAGUACGGCUAAAAUUUUCGAAACUGUUGCACAACAAGAGAAAUCAUUCACUAAUGGAGAUGGAAUGAAGCCCCCAGUAAGUGAGGUCAAUAAGGUCGAUCUGACACCUUCCUCCAGCAAAAGGAUGCGAUUCGCUGGACCAAAUAAUUUCGAGUGUCAUCGUUGUGGAUACCUAGGACACCUGGCCAGAGACGAUUCAUGUCCGGCACGAGGAAAAACAUGCAGCAAGUGCUUUGGCAAGAACCACUUUGCGAAGAAGUGUCGUACAAGGCAUCCGACUAAACCGAAAAGCUAUCCCAAGAGCGAACGCUCAGGAAACGAACAGACUCCCACGGUGAGUUCAAAAUCCAAUGAAAACGAAAAUUCACAUACGGUGAAGCACAUCGCUGAUGAUUCGGUUAACGACUACGCGGAAUACAUUUUCAAUGUAACGUCUUGUGACAGCAAUGCUGAGAUGCAGUGCGAGAUUGGCGGUGUAUCAGUGUCCGCUGUGAUCGACUCGGGUUCGAAAUACAACCUGCUGAGCCAGUCAAAUUGGGAGCAGCUCAAAGGCAACAAAGUGGUUGUAUUAAACCAGCGACGUGAAGCACCUAUGGAGUUCAAAGCAUAUGGAGGGCAAUCACUUCCUUUAAUUGGCGCCUUCAAUGCAAUCCUUAAAGUGGGAACUGCAAAUACCGUGGCCGAGAACUAUGUGGUGGAAGGUAACGGGAAAAUAUUGAUCGGACGCGAUACCGCAACGUCAAUGGGUGUUCUAAAAAUUAGUGCCCCUGUCAACGAAGUUGAAGCUAACCAGGACGCUAAAGGGUGCAGUAAACUGGGAACCAUCAAGGACGUUAUUGUAGACAUCCCGAUCCGAGCAGAUGUCACACCGGUUGUUCAGCCGUAUCGUCGUAUACCAGUAGCACUGGAGAAAUUAGUAGAAAAGAAAAUUAAUGAGCUGUUAAACAAGGGUAUAAUUGAGCCAGUUAACGAACCAGCGAAAUGGGUAUCCCCUGUAGUCGUAGUACCCAAGGGCGAUGGCAGUGAUGUACGUAUUUGUGUCGAUAUGCGUCGGGCAAAUGAGGCGGUUGAAAGAGAAAAUCACCCCCUACCGACAAUCGAAGAUUUUUUGCCUCAUCUGGUGAAAGCUAAAGUAUUCUCUCGCUUGGAUGUUGAAAGUGCCUUCCACCAGGUAGAAAUAUCGCGAAGGUCCCGUGAGAUCACGACAUUCAUCACAAGCAGAGGCUUGUUCCGCUAUACCCGACUUAUGUUUGGUAUCAGCUGCGCUCCUGAACUAUUCCAAAAAAUUAUGGAACAGAUUCUGAGCGGAUGCGACGGCUGCGUGGUUUUUAUUGAUGAUGUCCUGGUUUUCGGCGCUGAUCAAGCGGAACACGAUUUGCGACUGAAAAUGGUUCGUCAGAGAUUGCAGGAAUGGAAUGUCGUCCUAAAUGAAGAACAACGACAAACAUCUUAAGAUUCAAAUCAAUGGAACGGAUAUCGAAUCAGUAAGAAAUCACAAGUAUCUCGGAAUAAUAAUAGAUUGCUAUUUAAGCUUUGGCGCACACACAAGACAGAUAAGAACAAACAUUCAAGAUAGAUUGAACAUGAUGAAAGUGCUCAGUGAUAUCAAAACUGGGGCUCAUCCAGACACAGUAGCCAAAAUAUAUAAAUCAAUUUUUCGCAGUGUAUUGGAAUAUGGCAGUGUAGUGCAUUGUAACGCGAAGGAAAGCAACCAUAAGAUGUUGACUAUAGUAAACAACCAGUGCCUAAGAAAAAUAACGGGCCCGACGCGCUCCACGCCGCUGAACGUACUGACAGCACUAAGUGGUCAAGAACCAUUACAUCUCAGGCAAGAAUAUGUUGCGGCUAGAGAAAUCAUACGCUGUUGCGCUAGAGAUAGUAUCGUCGCACACCAAUUAGAGCAUAUAAAUCCCCCAGCGAAUGAAAACGAUUUAGAGAGUUUUUCUUUUAUGGAGCGGCUCUACUGCAAACAUAAGGACACCUUUGACAACAUAACUAAGGAUAAACGGUUGUACACGGUAGGUAGAGUUGGAAUCGCUUCUUGCAUAGAGGGAUUACUCAGCUCUAAAGUCAACACAAAUCCCAUGAAAUCAAGCAAAUGGCACUGUUCACUAUGAAUGGGACUCAUAGAGGACGAGGGCGCAUUUUUACAGAUGCGUCGAAAGAAAAUACAGCAUGUGGCAUAGGUGUUUUAUUGAAAGUACCCGUCAGAGGUUUCACUAUCGCUUGAAGAACGAGACAAGCAUCACGUCAGCAGAACUUACAGCGAUAAAAAAGGCGACCUCGUUAGUAGACGAGUUUCAUCUAGAGAAUUUUGUCAUCUACACCGACUCGAAAUCAGCUCGUGUAAUGCUAGAGAGCACACGAGAUAGCAACCAUGGCGAAGACAUACUAAUCGACAUAUUAAAAAUCUGUGCGAAAUGGAACAUUUUCAUCCAGUGGAUUCCGAGCCAUGUGGCAAUACAGGGGAACGACAUCGCAGACCUUUUAGCUAAAAAAGGUUUAACAUCAGACAAUAUUUUGGAAAACAAAUUUUUGGUGAGUGAUGCAUUCAUGUUUUUCAAACAGUUACUAGCAAAAAACGCCACAGAAUGGUAUAAAUCAUAUUCGGUGGAGAAGGGAAAAAAAUUCUACGAAAUAAAUCGAACUUUCUCAACAACACCCUGGUAUAGGAAAAAAGUUAUGAAUGGUCAGGACAUAAGGCUCAUAAACAGACUUAUGUCUGGACAUGAUUACUCACGAUAUUGGCUAGCCCGCAUGAAAAUUGUUUCUGACCCCGAUUGUGAUCUCUGCGAAGAAGCAGAGACUGCAGAACACAGUAUACUGCAUUGUAUGAAGUAUUGCAUUCGAAGAAUGGACUACAGCUUCGACAAAAAAUACAGAUCACUAGCUGAAAUAUUCACUAACGGUGAUAUUGACACCUACAAGGAAAUAGCUAAAUUCGUGAGGAAAAAUAAACUAAAUAUUUGAACGAUUUGAACACUCUAGAACAAAGUACAGCAGGGCAUAUAGUCGAUGCGACUGGCCCUCCCAAUAGAGCUGUCACGAGACGGCUCAAAAAGAAUUAAGAAGAAGAAGAAGAAGUCUUUCGUUUGUUAGAAAUAGUUCCAGUGCAAGUGAAAAAAACUUGACCGUUCGUGCCUCUCCGGAGGAAUAUAGUCAAACGGUCAGACUCAGCUUUUUUGCUGCUGCGUUUGCGGUUUUUGUCGUGUUCGCGUAGUGUUUGUAUUGUGAUGCUGAUUCACUUGCACGUAGGAAAUCCAGCGAUCAAAUUGGACACAAAAUCCAGUCGGAGCACGGCAUCGGCGCUGGUAUCGGCUGCAUGGUCAUGUCCUUCGCUAUUGGACCUAUCCUGAUGAUGAAAAAUGCAAGCCUCCGAUCGGGAGCAUGAAUUUGCAGAAGUGCCCAGACUGGUAUGCUCUCGAUUGAACAAAUUAUUAUUACAAUUUCGACGUCCAGCACUGCCGGAUGAUGUUGAAUCGCUGGUGCUGGCAAAGUAAGGCAAUUCAGCGGUAUUUGCUGUCAGCUGAUUGUUGCGACGAGUGGUGUGCUAAUUUUAAUAUAACACUCGCUUUGCUUGAAGCCUGGGGACAGACCGAUAGCAGAAGUACGAGUUUCUAAAUACGUUCAAUCUGCUUAAUAUCGGUUUUCUGUACAGUUUCCAUUGUUAGUUGUAUUAUUAGUUAGUUAGUGAGUUAGUAGUAGUAUUAUUAGUUAGUGAGUUAGUAGUAGUAUUAUUAGUUAGUUAUUUAUUAAAAUUAUGAAUUCGAAUGUCCCAAGCAGAUGAAGAUUAGUGUCUUUUUCUUUUUAAAUUGGAUUUUAUGUGAUGAAUUAAUUAUUAACUAGGUAAUAUUGAUUUAGAAUUUAUAUUGGUGCUUAUUACGGGAGUCGCUUCACGGUGAAAUCAGAGUGAAGUGAACAAAAUCCUAUUACCGGACUCACGUAAGCAGCGUUGCCAGGUAUCCAGAUUUAGCUGGAUUAUCCAGAUUUUUGAACAUGUAUCCAGGUAAACAGAUUUGAUGUCCAACUAUCCAGAUUUUUCAUGAAUGAUCCAGAUUUUAUCCAGAUUUUAUUUUCUCUGUUCCGCAAAAAGGUCAUCACUUCAAAUUUGGCGCGAAAUUUUGCAAUUUUGUCACCUUAAAUUUUACGUACCUCAAGACUUUUAUCCGAAGAAUUUAACUUUCACCCCUCGAAAUGACUUCCAGAUUUUUUCCAGAUUUUUUUUUUUGCCUUUUCCAAAUUUAAAAAAAAAAGACCUGACAACGCUGCACGUAAGUGAGAAAAACGUCGCAAAGUGACAUCUGCCGUGGAAUCUGGGUUAUUAUGAGUGUCAUAUCAGUGAAGUGAGAACGGAAAAAGCGACGUUUCGCGUGGAAUUAUUUCACGACCAUUUUGAACGGUGAAAUGAUUCCACGAAGAUGCCAUAAGUCUUAAUGUUGAUUGAUUUGUGAUUUAAUGGUAAAUAUUGGAUUAAUUCUUCAGUAACGAAGCGAAUCAGAAUUUGAUCCGUGCCUUAAAGCGGCCAAAUUUUCAUUUUUUUGCCCGAUGAAAAAAAUGCAAACUAGUUCAGGAAAUUUUCGAUACCGAAAAAAACAUUUUUUGCUGCCGAAUGUCUUAGAAAUGCAGAACACGUCAAGAUCUGGUGUUAUUCAAAAAAAAAGGUAAACCCGACUUUCUGGGACUUAGACAUUUUUGAGCUGGGAAACAAUCUCAUUUCACUUGUCCUAUUCUCAAUUUUUGUCGCCUCACUUGAGGUGGAAUCGGGAAUAGGUCUAAAAAAGUGAAGUGAGCGUGAGAGUGAAAUAUAUUUCACCGUGAAGUGACUACCGUAAUAAGCACCCGUGAAGUGACUCCCGUAAUAAGCACCAGUAAAAGAUAAAUGUAAGAUUAGGUGCGAGUUUUAUUUCAAUGCAUUUUUUGUUUAAAAGCAACUACAAACUAUUAAUAUAAUGGUGCUUAUUACGGGAGUCACUUCACGGUGAAAUAUAUUUCACUCUUACGCUCACUCCACAGACCUAUUCCCGAUUCCACCUCAAGUGAGGUGACAAAAAUCACCUCCGUGAAGUGAGAUUGACUGUAAAGUGAAAUUGAGAAUAGGACAAGUGAAAUGAGAUUGCUUCCCAGCUCAAAAAUGUCUAAGUCCCAAAAAGUCGUUUUUUCCCGUUUUUUUAGAUAACACCAGAUCAUGACGUGUUCUGCAUUUCUAAGACAUUCGGCAUGAAAAAAAAAUGUUUUCGGUAUCGAAAAUUUCCUGAACUAGUUUGCAUUUUUUUCAUCGGGCAAAAAAAUGAAAAAUUGACCGCUUCAAGGCACGGAUCAAACUCUGAUUCGCUUCGUUACUGAAGAAUAAAUCUAAUAUUUACCAUUAGAUCACAAAUCAAUCAACUUUAAGACUUAUGGCAGCUUCGUGGAAUCAUUUCACCGUUCAAAAUGGUCGUGAAAUAAUUCCACGCGAAACGUCGCUUUUUCCGUUCUCACUUCACUGAUAUGACACUCAUAAUAACCCAGAUUCCACGGCAGAUGUCACUUUGCGACGUUUUUCUCACUUACGUGAGUCCCGCAAUAGGAUUUUGUUCACUUCACUGUGAUUUCACCGUGAAGUGACUCCCGUAAUAAGCACCAAUAAAGUGUUAAAUGUAUAUAAUAGUGUUGAUGUAGUUCAGGAAAUUUUCGAUACCGAAAAAAACAUUUUUUUUGAUGCCGUAUGUCUUAGAAAUGCAGAACACGUCAAGAUCUGGUGUUAUCUAAAAAAACGGGAAAAAACGACUUUCUAAGACAUUCUAAGACAUUCGGCAGCAAAAAAAAUGUUUUUUUCGGUAUCGAAAAUUUCCUGAACUAGUUUGCAUUUUUUUCAUCGGGCAAAAAAAUUAAAAUUUGGCCGCUUUAAGGCACGGAUCAAAUUCUGAUUCGCUUCGUUACUGAAGAAUUAAUCCAAUAUUUACCAUUUAAUCACAAAUCAAUCAACAUUAAGACUUAUGGCAUCUUCGUGGAAUCAUUUCACCGUUCAAAAUGGUCGUGAAAUAAUUCCACGCGAAACGUCGCUUUUUCCGUUCUCACUUUACUGAUAUGACACUCAUAAUAUAAAUAUAAAUUCUAAAUUAAUAUUACCUAGUUAAUAAUUAAUUCAUCACAUAAAAUCCUAUUUAAAAAAAAAAAGACACUAAUCUUCAUCUGCUUGGGACAUUCGAAUUCAUAAUUUUAAUAAAUAACUAACUAAUAAUACUACUACUAACUCACUAACUAAUAAUACUACUACUAACUCACUAACUAACUAAUAAUACAACCAACAAUGGCAACUGUACAGAAAACCGAUAUUAAGCAGAUUGAACGUAUUUAGAAACUCGUACUUCUGCUAUCGGUCUGUCCCCAGGCUUCAAGCAGAGCGAGUGUUAUAUUAAAAUUAGCACACCACUCGUCGCAACAAUCAGCUGACAGCAAAUACCUGUAAAAAUAUAGGACGACGUAUUAGUAUCCGGUGAAAGCCAUAAAUUCACGAAAACCUACCGCUAAAUUGCCUUACUUUGCCAGCACCAGCGAUUCAACAUCAUCCGGCGGUGCUGGACGUCGAAAUUGUAAUAAUAAUUUGUUCAAUCGAGAGCAUACCAGUCUGGGUGCAGCACUUCUGCAAAUUCAUGCUCCCGAUCGGAGGCUUGCAUUUUUCAUCAUCAGGAUAGGUCCAAUAGCGAAGGACAUGACCAUGCAGCCGAUACCAGGGCGGAUGCCGUGCUCCGACUGGAUUUUGUGUCCAAUUUGAUCGCUGGAUUUCCUACGUGCAAGUGAAUCAGCAUCGCAAAACAAACACUACGCGAACACGACAAAAACCCGCAAACGCAGCAGCAAAAAAGCUGAGUCUGACCGUUUGACUAUAUUCCUCCGGAGAGGCACGAACGGUCAAGUUUUUUUCACUUGCACUGGAACUAUUUCUAACAAACGAAACACAGAUUUAAUAAAAACAAGUUCCUAGCGCACGAUCAAAACAAAACUUCUUCUUUUUCCUUCACGU
Wyeomyia smithii (pitcher-plant mosquito) is the source of this 7674-nucleotide RNA transcript. RefSeq lists it as uncharacterized. The transcript is spliced from 5 exons. NCBI's taxonomy places the organism in Eukaryota, Metazoa, Arthropoda, Insecta, Diptera, Culicidae. The record is from RefSeq and is a predicted model, not a curated record.